AAUAUUUGUGAUCAGUCGCUUGAACAUGCAUAUAUAUUAAGUCGGUAAAAAAAAGCCCUAGCCCACAGCAUCAAAGUUGAAGGAGCAGUCAUUCGUUGAAGGAGCAGUCAUUCUCGGUUACUCCACUUGUUAUCAAGCUCCGAUUUAGAGUUGCAACUAGUAAAAUUGGGUGGCUGCUUUGCUCACUACUGACUCGAUGGAUGCAGUCUAUGAUUCCGAGCGUAUUCAACUUACUCAGUUGUGUGAAAAACUAAAACCUAUUAUUUGGGUCAUUGAAAUAACUGGCAAAACUAAGGGGCAGAUGACGAAAACAGGUGCUACAGGAUUUUCCGUGCACAAUGAUGGUUUGGUAAUGACCUGUGCACACAUAUUCAAGGGAGUGAACUUAACUGAAAUUAAUGUUCGUAGACUUGAUGAAGAAAAUUUUAAAACUGCUAAACUGAAGGAUAUGCGAUUAAAGUGGGAUUUAGCACUCUUGAAGUUUGAUGAGGUGAUUGAUUGUAGCUGAUGGGUCGAUUUGGGAAGGUCAACCCCUGUUGCAUAUUGGGAAUCCGUUCAACUUUUUAGGAUCUUAUUUGAUUGGGCGUGCAUGUUUUCCAUGCGUGGCAGAUGUGAGCCCUCCGAGAGGUAAUGAAACUUGUGGCAGAUUUGACUCAACAGCCAUGAUAAAGACACCAAGAUACCGAGUGAUGGGACACGUGUGGAAUAGCGAAUAUUUUUCAAGCCAUCAGCAUUCCAGUUUUCCCUUUGAAAAAUCUCUUACCCCUUCGGUUCCCAUUAUCCAAUGCAAUGGAAUCAAUGCCAGACCAGGUUGUUCUGGAGGUCCUGUAUUUAAUAUGGAGGGAAAGAUUGUAGGGAUGCUGAUUGCAGGAGGGAAUGACUUUGACAUAGUCACUCAUGUGUCAGCUCUGAGGAUGUAUUUGGCAAACCGUUGCCAAUCCGAGGACACUUCAAAGAAGCAAAGGACUUGUUGAAAGGACUUCAUUUAGGACAAGACUGAUCGUACUAUCUUAUUUGUUUCUGAGAACCUUUUUAUGUUUAAUCAAAUGACAACAGUUGUAUUAUGUUUAGAAUCCUUUAUUGAUACAAUUGUCUAUCUUAUGUCUUUAGUGUUCAAAAUCCUUGUAUGAUA
Daucus carota subsp. sativus is the source of this 1132-nucleotide long non-coding RNA. RefSeq lists it as uncharacterized. Lineage: Eukaryota; Viridiplantae; Streptophyta; Magnoliopsida; Apiales; Apiaceae. The transcript has 4 exons. The record is from RefSeq and is a predicted model, not a curated record.